UACAGAGGGGGCGAGCGUUGUUCGGAAUUACUGGGCGUAAAGGGCGCGUAGGCGGCCCGCUAAGUCGAACGUGAAAUCCCCGGGCUCAACCCGGGAACUGCGUCCGAUACUGGUGGGCUUGAAUCCGGGAGAGGGAUGUGGAAUUCCAGGUGUAGCGGUGAAAUGCGUAGAUAUCUGGAGGAACACCGGUGGCGAAGGCGGCAUCCUGGACCGGUAUUGACGCUGAGGCGCGAAAGCUAGGGGAGCAAACGGG
RNAcentral lists this ribosomal RNA (253 nucleotides) under uncultured bacterium. Its description in RNAcentral is "partial 16S ribosomal RNA". It matches the Rfam family "Bacterial small subunit ribosomal RNA", at positions 524 to 776 of the family's 1533-position model. The record is from RNAcentral.